Molecule: non-coding RNA, 72 nt
Organism: Zygosaccharomyces rouxii
Lineage: Eukaryota; Fungi; Ascomycota; Saccharomycetes; Saccharomycetales; Saccharomycetaceae
Source: Rfam
GGGCGUGUGGUCUAGUGGUAUGAUUCUCGCUUUGGGUGCGAGAGGCCCUGGGUUCAAUUCCCAGUAUGCCCC